AAUGAACGCUGGCGGCGUGCCUAACACAUGCAAGUCGAGCGAGAAAGCUCUUUCGGGAGUGAGUAAAGCGGCGGACGGGUGAGUAAAGCACGAGAAUCUGCCCUUUAGUGGAGGAUACUCCUGAGAAAUCGGGCUUAAUACUGCAUAUCUCCUUGCGAGGAGAAAGAUGGCUUUAUGCUGUCGCUAGAGGAUGAGCUCGUGUACUAUUAGCUAGUUGGUGGGGUAAAGGCCUACCAAGGCGAUGAUGGUUAACCGGCCUGAGAGGGUGAACGGUCACACUGGAACUGAGACACGGUCCAGACUCCUACGGGAGGCUG
Molecule: ribosomal RNA, 317 nt
Filed under: uncultured bacterium
Lineage: Bacteria
Description: bacterial SSU rRNA
Rfam family: Bacterial small subunit ribosomal RNA
Source: RNAcentral